GCAGUAGCCGCGGGAAUACGGAGGAUCCGAGCGUUAUCCGGAUUUAUUGGGUUUAAAGGGUGCGUAGGUGGUUUUUUAAGUCAGGGGUGAAAGACGGCAGCUUAACUGUCGCAGUGCCUUUGAUACUGAAGAACUUGAAUGAACUAGAGGUAGGCGGAAUGUGACAAGUAGCGGUGAAAUGCAUAGAUAUGUCACAGAACACCGAUUGCGAAGGCAGCUUACUAUGGUUUGAUUGACACUGAGGCACGAAAGCGUGGGGAGCAAACAGGAUUAGAUACCCCCGUAGUCCCUGUCUCUUAUAC
RNAcentral lists this ribosomal RNA (302 nucleotides) under uncultured bacterium. RNAcentral's name for it is "partial 16S ribosomal RNA". It matches the Rfam family "Bacterial small subunit ribosomal RNA", at positions 508 to 807 of the family's 1533-position model. The record is from RNAcentral.